GCGAGCUUAAACCGAUAGGUGUAGGCGGAGCGAAAGCGAGUCUUAAUAGGGCGUUUUAGUUCGUUGGAUUAGACCCGAAGCCGGGUGAUCUAGCCAUGGGCAGGUUGAAGGUGCGGUAACACGCACUGGAGGACCGAACCCGAGAAUGUUGAAAAAUUCCGGGAUGACCUGUGGCUAGGGGUGAAAGGCUAAUCAAACCCGGCAAUAGCUGGUUCUCCGCGAAAGCUAUUUAGGUAGCGCGUUGUGUCUUACCCUCGGGGGUAGAGCACUGGAUGGGGAAGGGGGGCGCGAGCCUUACCAACUCUAACCAAACUCCG
This 317-nucleotide ribosomal RNA is filed under the name Prymnesium parvum. Its description in RNAcentral is "partial Bacterial large subunit ribosomal RNA". It matches the Rfam family "Bacterial large subunit ribosomal RNA", at positions 640 to 958 of the family's 2925-position model. The record is from RNAcentral. Lineage: Eukaryota; Haptophyta; Prymnesiales; Prymnesiaceae.